GACAAGUGUGAUCAAGUUAAGAGAUAGCAGUAUAAAAUAGGGUUUGAGGUAGAUUAAAUAUAAGUAAAGUAAAAAGAUGAGAUUAAUUGAAGGGGUUCAAUCUGUACAAUUAAUUCAGAAAAUUCAUGGCUGUUUAUUUUCUUUAAUUCCUGAAAAUUAGUAUAAAAACCGGGAUUAGAUACCCCGUUAUUCUAAAUGUAAAAGGUCAGUUUAUGUACUGGAGGACUACGAGUCUGCUUUAUUGUGUUAAGUAAAGUUAAUUAGCUAUGUAGAAUAGUUUCAAAUAGAUUUAAAACUCAAAAGAUUUGGCGGUGUUUUAUAUCUUUCUAGGGGAACCUGUUGCGUAAUCGAUAAUCCACGUAUUACCUUACUUUGCCUUGAAAAUGCUUGUUAAUAGUAUAUUUAACAGCCUGUAUACCGUCGUCGUCAGGUUACCCUUAAGGGUUUGAGGAGUUGGCUAAUAGAUAAGUUACAGAGAAAGUAAAAGUCUGGAUGUCAGAUCAAGGUGCAGCUUAUGGCAAAGGGCUAAUGGGUUACAAUGGUUAUUUACUGCGGAGUUUCUUGUUAAAAAAGUUAUGAAGUUGGACUUAGAAGUAAUUUUGGAAGUAGUGAGCUAGAAUGAAUAGAGCCCUGAAAUGUGC
Molecule: ribosomal RNA, 641 nt
Filed under: Halystina sp. SW-2012
Lineage: Eukaryota; Metazoa; Mollusca; Gastropoda; Seguenziida; Seguenziidae
Description: partial 12S ribosomal RNA
Rfam family: Bacterial small subunit ribosomal RNA (bases 299-641)
Source: RNAcentral